Molecule: long non-coding RNA, 205 nt
Filed under: Cyanistes caeruleus (blue tit)
Lineage: Eukaryota; Metazoa; Chordata; Aves; Passeriformes; Paridae
Description: lncRNA (ENSCCEG00000009719.1)
Source: RNAcentral
GUGUUGCAGAAAAGAAAAUAUUUUUGAGCAUGGAUAGUAAAGGGAUUUAGACUAAAAUAAUUGACUCUUCUUCAAGCAUAAGCGAUUCACAUAGCCCAAGGAUGAAAAAAGCAAACAUGUGGGAAGGAAAUCAUAUGGACUCAAGUGCUUAAUAUGAAGGAGGUGAGAAGAGAAAGGGAAAUUAUGACAAAAUGAAUCACCUUAC